This is a long non-coding RNA of Mandrillus leucophaeus (drill), 342 nucleotides long. RefSeq lists it as uncharacterized. NCBI's taxonomy places the organism in Eukaryota, Metazoa, Chordata, Mammalia, Primates, Cercopithecidae. The transcript has 2 exons. The record is from RefSeq and is a predicted model, not a curated record.
AAUGCAAGAGUCAAUUUAACACGGCUCUUCCACACAGAGCUGGAACAUGUUCAACCCAGAGUGUGACCUCCCUGCAGCCCUGGCCCAGGCCCUCUCACAAGGAGGAGGCCAGGAGCACAUGAAAUUUAACAAGCUGUGAAGCCAGCCGGGCACAGAACCCCCGGCGUGGAAGGCUCCCCUGUGAAAAUGCAGGAGGAAAGGCACAAAGGCAAUCUCCCUAGCCUCUCUACGUGGAAGUGUCCCCAUCUGUGACAUGCAGCAAACAACAGCGCCUUCCUGUGCUCGCUCUUUUUGGGAUUACACCAGACUGCAGGCGUGCUCAAUAAACGGCAGCUAUUUGCA